CUAGUGUAGUUUCCAUCUUCUC
RNAcentral lists this non-coding RNA (22 nucleotides) under Arabidopsis thaliana (thale cress). The record is from RNAcentral. Lineage: Eukaryota; Viridiplantae; Streptophyta; Magnoliopsida; Brassicales; Brassicaceae.